UCUUAUAAAUCCAAAAUAAUUUUCAAAUUGGGCCACGAAACAUACUUCAGUGGGCCCUAGCACAUUAGCCUAAUCGGGUCGGGUUCGGCCUAUUUGAUUAUCUCAAUUCACUGCACUGAUGUCGCCGGUGGCUACCGCCAGUUUCCACCACCGCCAUUGGUCGCGCUUCAGUGUUGCUGCCGCUUCAAUCAUGUUGAUUCUUUCAUCAGGCGAAAUGGCUAAACAUUUCAUUGCUAAUUCAAACACACAUGUUAUCCCAUCCAUCUUCAUAUCGACAUGUCAAUCUCGUGCUGGAAGCAAAUCAGGGGCUAAUACUUGACUGAUUUCAUUUGCUUGCAAUGCUUCACUCACCCACUCCUUCAAGCUCUUUUCCCCAUCAAACAUGUCAUCUGUCGGCUUUUUUCUUGUGAACAUCUCCAACAGCAUUAUCCCAAAACUGUAUACAUCAGCACUCGUGGAUACUUUUCCUUCCGAUCCAUACUCUAAUUGCAUCACAAGUUUGUGAUCACCAAAAAAACUCAAUUCAUAUGAGAAUACAUAUAGUAAAGAAAAUUAAUGUUUUUACCCAA
Molecule: long non-coding RNA, 569 nt
Organism: Salvia splendens (bonfire salvia)
Lineage: Eukaryota; Viridiplantae; Streptophyta; Magnoliopsida; Lamiales; Lamiaceae
Exons: 2
Source: RefSeq, a predicted model, not a curated record